Molecule: ribosomal RNA, 403 nt
Filed under: Salmonella enterica subsp. enterica serovar Saintpaul
Lineage: Bacteria; Pseudomonadati; Pseudomonadota; Gammaproteobacteria; Enterobacterales; Enterobacteriaceae
Also listed under: 1 other name
Description: partial 16S ribosomal RNA
Rfam family: Bacterial small subunit ribosomal RNA
Source: RNAcentral
CAGGCGGUCUGUCAAGUCGGAUGUGAAAUCCCCGGGCUCAACCUGGGAACUGCAUUCGAAACUGGCAGGCUUGAGUCUUGUAGAGGGGGGUAGAAUUCCAGGUGUAGCGGUGAAAUGCGUAGAGAUCUGGAGGAAUACCGGUGGCGAAGGCGGCCCCCUGGACAAAGACUGACGCUCAGGUGCGAAAGCGUGGGGAGCAAACAGGAUUAGAUACCCUGGUAGUCCACGCCGUAAACGAUGUCUACUUGGAGGUUGUGCCCUUGAGGCGUGGCUUCCGGAGCUAACGCGUUAAGUAGACCGCCUGGGGAGUACGGCCGCAAGGUUAAAACUCAAAUGAAUUGACGGGGGCCCGCACAAGCGGUGGAGCAUGUGGUUUAAUUCGAUGCAACGCGAAGAACCUUAC